GAUGAACGCUGGCGGCAUGCCUAAUACAUGCAAGUCGAACGAGAGGAAGGAAAGCUUGCUUUUCUGAAUCUAGUGGCGAACGGGUGAGUAACACGUAGGUAACCUGCCCAUGUGCCCGGGACAACUUCUGGAAACGGAUGCUAAAACCGGAUAGGUAGCAGACAAGCAUUUGACUGCUAUUAAAGUGGCUAAGGCCAUGAACAUGGAUGGACCUGCGGUGCAUUAGCUAGUUGGUGAGGUAACGGCCCACCAAGGCGACGAUGCAUAGCCGGCCUGAGAGGGCGGACGGCCACAUUGGGACUGAGACACGGCCCAAACUCCUACGGGAGGCAGCAGUAGGGAAUUUUCGUCAAUGGGGGGAACCCUGAACGAGCAAUGCCGCGUGAGUGAGGAAGGUCUUCGGAUCGUAAAGCUCUGUUGUAAGAGAAAAACGACAUUCAUAGGGAAUGAUGAGUGAGUGAUGGUAUCUUACCAGAAAGUCACGGCUAACUACGUGCCAGCAGCCGCCGCAG
RNAcentral lists this ribosomal RNA (512 nucleotides) under uncultured bacterium. RNAcentral describes it as "partial 16S ribosomal RNA". It matches the Rfam family "Bacterial small subunit ribosomal RNA", at positions 28 to 523 of the family's 1533-position model. The record is from RNAcentral.